CCUACGGGAGGCAGCAGUGGGGGAUAUUGCACAAUGGGGGAAACCCUGAUGCAGCGACGCCGCGUGGGUGAAGAAGCGCCUCGGCGCGUAAAGCCCUGUCAGCAGGGAAGAAAAUGACGGUACCUGAAGAAGAAGCCCCGUCUAACUACGUGCCAGCAGCCGCGGUAAUACGUAGGGGGCAAGCGUUAUCCGGAUUUACUGGGGGUAAAGGGGGCGCAGACGGCGAUGCAAGCCAGGAGUGAAAGCCCGGGGCCCAACCCCGGGACUGCUCUUGGAACUGCGUGGCUAGAGUGCAGGAGGGGCAGGGGGAAUUCCUGGUGUAGCGGUGAAAUGCGUAGAUAUCAGGAGGAACACCGGUGGCGAAGGCGGCCUGCUGGACUGCAACUGACGUUGAGGCCCGAAAGCGGGGGGAGCAAACAGGAUUAGAUACCCCUGUAGUC
Molecule: ribosomal RNA, 440 nt
Filed under: uncultured bacterium
Lineage: Bacteria
Description: partial 16S ribosomal RNA
Rfam family: Bacterial small subunit ribosomal RNA
Source: RNAcentral